GUGUCAGCAGCCGCGGUAAUACGUAGGGGGCAAGCGUUGUCCGGAAUUAUUGGGCGUAAAGCGCGCGCAGGCGGUAGCUUAAGUCUUCUGUUUAAUCCCCGGGCUCAACCCGGGUUCGCAGAGGAAACUGGGCCGCUGGAGUGCAGGAGAGGAAAGUGGAAUUCCACGUGUAGCGGUGAAAUGCGUAGAGAUGUGGAGGAACACCAGUGGCGAAGGCGACUUUCUGGCCUGUAACUGACGCUGAGGCGCGAAAGCGUGGGGAGCAAACAGGAUUAGAUACCCUGGUAGUCCACGCCGUAAACGAUGAGUGCUAGGUGUUAGGGGUUUCGAUACCCUUGGUGCCGAAGUCAACACAGUAAGCACUCCGCCUGGGGAGUACGCUCGCAAGAGUGAA
This 394-nucleotide ribosomal RNA is filed under the name uncultured bacterium. RNAcentral describes it as "bacterial SSU rRNA". It matches the Rfam family "Bacterial small subunit ribosomal RNA", at positions 505 to 898 of the family's 1533-position model. The record is from RNAcentral.